Molecule: unclassified non-coding RNA, 1069 nt
Filed under: leaf metagenome
Description: partial contains internal transcribed spacer 1, 5.8S ribosomal RNA, internal transcribed spacer 2, and large subunit ribosomal RNA
Rfam family: Eukaryotic large subunit ribosomal RNA (bases 496-1069)
Source: RNAcentral
GAUCAUUACUGAGUUUACGCUCUAUAACCCUUUGUGAACAUACCUAUAACUGUUGCUUCGGCGGGUAGGGUCUCCGCGACCCUCCCGGCCUCCCGCCCCCGGGCGGGUCGGCGCCCGCCGGAGGAUAACCAAACUCUGAUUUAACGACGUUUCUUCUGAGUGGUACAAGCAAAUAAUCAAAACUUUUAACAACGGAUCUCUUGGUUCUGGCAUCGAUGAAGAACGCAGCGAAAUGCGAUAAGUAAUGUGAAUUGCAGAAUUCAGUGAAUCAUCGAAUCUUUGAACGCACAUUGCGCCCGCCAUCAUUCUGGCGGGCAUGCCUGUUCGAGCGUCAUUUCAACCCUCAAGCUCUGCUUGGUGUUGGGGCCCUACAGCUGAUGUAGGCCCUCAAAGGUAGUGGCGGACCCUCCCGGAGCCUCCUUUGCGUAGUAACUUUACGUCUCGCACUGGGAUCCGGAGGGACUCUUGCCGUAAAACCCCCAAUUUUCCAAAGGUUGACCUCGGAUCAGGUAGGAAUACCCGCUGAACUUAAGCAUAUCAAUAAGCGGAGGAAAAGAAACCAACAGGGAUUGCCUCAGUAACGGCGAGUGAAGCGGCAACAGCUCAAAUUUGAAAUCUGGCCCUAGGCCCGAGUUGUAAUUUGCAGAGGAUGCUUUUGGUGCGGUGCCUUCCAAGUUCCCUAGAACGGGACGCCAGAGAGGGUGAGAGCCCCGUACAGUUGGACACCAAGCCUUUGUAAAGCUCCUUCGACGAGUCGAGUAGUUUGGGAAUGCUGCUCAAAAUGGGAGGUAUAUUUCUUCUAAAGCUAAAUACCGGCCAGAGACCGAUAGCGCACAAGUAGAGUGAUCGAAAGAUGAAAAGCACUUUGAAAAGAGGGUUAAACAGCACGUGAAAUUGUUAAAAGGGAAGCGCUUGUGACCAGACUUGCGUCCGGUGAAUCACCCAGCUCUCGCGGCUGGGGCACUUCGCCGGCUCAGGCCAGCAUCAGCUCGCUGUCGGGGACAAAAGCUUCAGGAACGUAGCUCUCUUCGGGGAGUGUUAUAGCCUGUUGCAUAAUACCCUUCGGCGG